Non-coding RNA from Paramuricea clavata, 157 nucleotides. Lineage: Eukaryota; Metazoa; Cnidaria; Anthozoa; Malacalcyonacea; Plexauridae. The record is from the annotation of a GenBank genome assembly.
AUAAUAUAAUAUAAUAUAAUAUAAUAUAAUAUAAUAUAAUAUAAUAUAAUAUUUAUAGACCCGGAGCGAGGGGGAUUCGGCGAAAUAUUUCCCGAAGUGAUGAUAUUUCCCGAGGGCGAAGCCCGAGGGAAAUAUUAUCACUUCGGGAAAUAUUUCG